GGAGAGAUGGCAGAGUGGUCGAUUGCACUACCUUGGAAAGGUAGCGUACGGCAACGUACCGAGGGUUCGAAUCCCUCUUUCUCCGCCA
RNAcentral lists this transfer RNA (88 nucleotides) under Burkholderiales bacterium. RNAcentral describes it as "tRNA-Ser". It matches the Rfam family "tRNA". Rfam says of the family: Transfer RNA (tRNA) molecules are approximately 80 nucleotides in length. Their secondary structure includes four short double-helical elements and three loops (D, anti-codon, and T loops). Lineage: Bacteria; Pseudomonadati; Pseudomonadota; Betaproteobacteria; Burkholderiales. The record is from RNAcentral.